GUGCAGCCUGGUUGGGAGGAAAGAGGAAACAGCAGCUUCUGGAGGAGAAGUUACAGUGGUGCAGAUCACACUUUGAGCCACAUGAACUGCUAGUCUCUACCCUGCAGUCUACUAGAGAAACUUGGGCAUAUGGGCAUGGAGACAAUUGGGUCUUUCCAAGGAUGGUUUCGGUACUUUUUGUUCACAGUCUGGGUGAUGAAUGUCGCAAUGCUGUUCCUGCUAACACACCUGGAAAAACAGGUGAUGGUGAUACAAAUGCAAUGCAAGCAAGCCAAGAGCAAUGCUCCCAGAAGCAGAUUUGAAGCCAGAGAUAGCCAUGCGGAGUACGAGCAGAUAUGAGAGAAACUGCACAUGCUUUUGAAAUGAUGCUGAAUCAAAAACAGCUGGUGUGGUUUUCCUAUUUGUUUUUUGUUUUUUUCACAUUUCAAAGAGAUAAAAGAAUAAAUUAUACCCCAUAAUGUAAACAUUGUUGUACUUGAAUGAAUUAAUUUGUAAGUUAAAAAAAAUAAUGAAAAUCAUUUUUUUUAUCCAAUUUGGCUGCUCUUUCAAAGAAGGAAAUACUCAUAGUUAUAAUUCAACGCAUUCUUAUGUGCUGUCAUUUGAACCGCUG
Long non-coding RNA from Electrophorus electricus (electric eel), 610 nucleotides. The record is from Ensembl. Lineage: Eukaryota; Metazoa; Chordata; Actinopteri; Gymnotiformes; Gymnotidae.